AUUGAAGCCCGAGUAAACGGCGGCCGUAACUAUAACGGUCCUAAGGUAGCGAAAUUCCUUGUCGGUUAAAUACCGACCUGCAUGAAUGGCGUAACGAGAUGGGAGCUGUCUCAACCAGAGAUUCAGUGAAAUUGUAGUGGAGGUGAAAAUUCCUCCUACCCGCGGCAAGACGGGAAGACCCC
Molecule: ribosomal RNA, 182 nt
Filed under: Helicobacter pylori
Lineage: Bacteria; Pseudomonadati; Campylobacterota; Epsilonproteobacteria; Campylobacterales; Helicobacteraceae
Description: partial 23S ribosomal RNA
Rfam family: Bacterial large subunit ribosomal RNA
Source: RNAcentral